RNAcentral lists this ribosomal RNA (192 nucleotides) under uncultured bacterium. RNAcentral's name for it is "partial 16S ribosomal RNA". It matches the Rfam family "Bacterial small subunit ribosomal RNA", at positions 1311 to 1500 of the family's 1533-position model. The record is from RNAcentral.
UUCGCCUUCAUGAAGCCGGAAUUGCUAGUAAUGGCAGGUCAGCAUACUGCCGUGAAUACGUUCCCGGGCCUUGUACACACCGCCCGUCACACCAUGAGAGUUGGGGAUACCCGAAGCCUGUGAGCCAACAGUUUACUGAGGCAGCAGUCGAAGGUAGAAUCAAUGAUUGGGGUGAAGUCGUAACAAGGUAAC